CUUGUAUGGUUUUUAUUAUUAUGAAGAGGUUUUAGUAUGAAUCAAGGUGUGAGCCCAGGUUUAAGAGAAUAAACAGUGUGUACCUGACAGAUGAAACUCAUAACACUUUUAUGACACCAGUCAUAGCACCUUUGAGUGUUUCAAUAUCAUUCAUAACAACCUUCAUAACGCAUUUAUUCAACAUCAUUCAUAAGGUAUCCUCCUCCAGUAAAGUGUUACGUGUCACCUAUUUAGGGUAGUUUGUAGACACGUGUAUCUUAGAACAGCAUUAAAUGAUGAAUGAUUGACUCUACUUUAAGUUUCCAAACUUUUUAUAUACUGUAUCACUUGUUUAUAUAUGAGCAGUCUAAGAUGUCCCAGUAGUGUUUUUAUGUUCCUCUCCUGUUGAGAGGAACUGAAGUCUUGUUCUUUGGGCAGAAUUAAGAGCUGUUGUAUCAGAUUAUAGGGUGUCAGGUGGUUGUGGUUUGUCAUGUCAGAGCGCUUCCUGAUCAGGUUUUGCAACAUCUCCUGGCAAUGUCUCUCUGCCCCUUGUGUUUUCUCUCAUUUCAUGACAUGUCUGUGGUGGAGGAUUCGUCUAAGGUUAGCUAAACCAUACACAGAUAUCUGUGAAGUUAUGGGAGGGUAACCCAGAUGGUCACUUUUAGUAUGCUCAUACUAAAAUACCUCUGUGCAUGAAUCCUUACGAAGAAACAGGGAAACAUUUUAAGGACAUUUCCCAGCCCAACAUUGACAUAAGAUGUUUGUCAUGUGGAAUUUUUGUUAAGGAUGGGGUUAUCCGUGCCAAAGAUGACAACUGGCAAGACCCCAUUCUGUCCUUAGGCCAAUCUGGACUUAGUUUAUUGUUGGGGUAGAUUUACAGCUAACCAAGAAUCACUUUUAUAGCUCAUAUCUUGAUGAUCUUGGGCUCCCAAGUGGCGCAGCGGUCUAACGCACUGCAUCUCAGAUCUUGAGGUGUCACUCCAGGAUGUCUCACAACCAGCCGUGAUUGGGAGUCCCAUAGGGCGCGCACAAUUGGCCCAGCGUCGUCCGGGUUUUGGCCAUCAUUGUAAAUAAGAAUUUGUUCUUAACUGACUUGCCUAGUUAAAUAAAAAAAAUGAUGCCCAGUACGCUUUCUUUUUCCAGUAACAGGUACCAGACAGUAGCUAACAGUAACAGGUACCAGACAGUAGCAGGUACCAGACAGUAGUUAACAGUAACAGGUACCAGACAGUAGUUAACAGUAGCAGGUACCAGACAGUAGCUAACAGUAACAGGUACCAGACAUUAGCUAACAGUAACAGGUUCCAGACAGUAACAGGUACCAGACAGUAGCUAACAGUAACAGGUACCAGACAGUAGCAGGUACCAGACAGUAGCUUACAGUAACAGGUACCAGACAGUAGCUAACAGUAACAGGUACCAGACAGUAGCAGGUACCAGACAGUAGCUUACAGUAGCAGGUACCAGACAGUAGCUAACAGUAACAGGUACCAGACA
RNAcentral lists this long non-coding RNA (1476 nucleotides) under Salmo salar (Atlantic salmon). RNAcentral's name for it is "lncRNA (ENSSSAG00000096668.1)". Lineage: Eukaryota; Metazoa; Chordata; Actinopteri; Salmoniformes; Salmonidae. The record is from RNAcentral.